RNAcentral lists this non-coding RNA (811 nucleotides) under Pan troglodytes (chimpanzee). The record is from RNAcentral. Lineage: Eukaryota; Metazoa; Chordata; Mammalia; Primates; Hominidae.
GUUGAAGAUGACUCACUACCACCACGUCCAACCUCCAAUUUGAAGGAAAAUGGAAAGGGGAAAGUUGAACCAACAGUACCUUUAUGAAGGCAUGGCCUGAAAAUGGAAGAUUAUCACUUCUCUUUGCAUCACACUGGCAGAUCAGUGUGGAAAUGGAUGUGGACGCGGUGCUGCUGCCUGAGAUUAGCAGGAAGCAAUUCUUUUCCCAUUUGGAGAGACCCCAAUAUUACCUAUAUUGCCUUGAUCUGCUGUCUGAGGGCUUUUUCGGGCCAGGAGAUGGUUUUGCAGCAGCAGAAGACUAUGAACUGGGCUUUGGGAGAUAGGAUCUCUGGUUGUAUUCUGGCUAUCCACACUCUGAAAGAGGACCGUGACAGAGAAUUUGAGUAUCCUACCAAUAUACCUACAAAAGGAUGAAAGAAGAUUUGGAGUCAAGGGAAAACAAGGGCAAUAAAAUAGAUGCUUACCACCUGCUCUCAUACAGUUGCUAGAAGAGGACUGCAUAUUUGGUUCUAAGUUUUUGGAAGAUAAAGCAAAAAUAGAAACACAACUCAUUAUAAAAUUUUGGUGUAUCCAUAAAAUAAAAACAAAUGACCUGUUUGAGAAAACUCUUUCUGAGUUUGAGCUCUAAAAGGAACUUCUCUAUGGAAUCCUUAGAAUAUGAGAAGGCUGUGAUAUAGGGGAGAAACCCCUUGACAUUCCUAUAUUGGGUUUAGGUCUAAUUUCACUCAGUAGUUUUUAAAUGUUACUCCUUGUAGACAGAUGAUGAGACGCCAAAGUACAGCUGAGUGAAAGCGGUUCCUUUGAAAACUAA